ACGGGAGGCAGCAGUGGGGAAUAUUGCACAAUGGGGGAAACCCUGAUGCAGCGACGCCGCGUGAGUGAAGAAGUAUUUCGGUAUGUAAAGCUCUAUCAGCAAGGAAGAAAAUGACGGUACUUGACUAAGAAGCCCCGGCUAACUACGUGCCAGCAGCCGCGGUAAUACGUAGGGGGCAAGCGUUAUCCGGAUUUACUGGGUGUAAAGGGAGCGUAGACGGUAAGGCAAGUCUGAAGUGAAAUGCAGGGGCUCAACCCCUGAACUGCUUUGGAAACUGUCAAACUAGAGUGCAGGAGAGGUAAGUGGAAUUCCUAGUGUAGCGGUGAAAUGCGUAGAUAUUAGGAGGAACACCAGUGGCGAAGGCGGCUUGCUGGACGACAACUGACGCUGAGGCGCGAAAGCGUGGGGAGCAAACAGGAUUAGAUACCCUGGUA
Molecule: ribosomal RNA, 434 nt
Filed under: uncultured Lachnospiraceae bacterium
Lineage: Bacteria; Bacillati; Bacillota; Clostridia; Lachnospirales; Lachnospiraceae
Description: partial 16S ribosomal RNA
Rfam family: Bacterial small subunit ribosomal RNA
Source: RNAcentral